Long non-coding RNA from Heterocephalus glaber (naked mole-rat), 1692 nucleotides. RefSeq lists it as uncharacterized. The record is from RefSeq and is a predicted model, not a curated record. NCBI's taxonomy places the organism in Eukaryota, Metazoa, Chordata, Mammalia, Rodentia, Bathyergidae.
CUGCAUAACUCUGUAAUCAUAAAACUCCCCUAGCCCCAACUGUGAAUGUGAGUAAAUAGAUAAAGAUGCUUGUUAGUUCUGGGACACUAGAUAAGAUCUGUUUCAGCCAUAAGGUCCCAAAGUAAAUUACUCAACUCUUUGUUCUGUUGAACUGAUGUUCUGAACACUGCUAUCUAUAGAACUAUCUACAAACAUCUGCUGACCAUCAGUACAUGUCAGCUGACCACUACCCUUUGUUCCUCUUCUGUAAAUUUCUCCUGUUAACUUCCCCUGCAACCCCUUAUAAAAAGAGCCUCCGACUCUGGGCUAGUCACCUCUCUAAGCUACUUUGCUUUGGGAGUGCCAUCUGGCCAGACUAAGGUCUAUUUUACUUUCCAACUUGUCUGGUGUGUUCCUUCCUGGGUGUUCUUCGCUGCAGUCAGCUCCUCAGAGCGUUUGGUAAGGCCCUCGGUCUUACAUUUUGGAGGCCCCAGUGAGAUUCCCGGGUAAGGAACCCCGGUUCAGCCGGGACUCUGUGGCGGGAUCCAGCAGGAGACUCAGGCACAGACCUCAGAAAACCUCCAGAGGUUUGAUUCCAAGACCCUGGAACAUCAUUGGAAGGGACCGGUUCCUGUUGUCCUGUCAACUCCCUUGGCGGUAAAGGUGGCUGGACAUUCUGCCUGGAUACAUCGCAACCAUCUGAAAGCAGGACCCCCCCGUGGACGUCAAAAAGGACAAAUGGAAGGUUAUCAGCCAACCAGGCAACCAAAAGCUAAGAUUGGAGCGGGUUGGAGAUGUUUCGCCUUCAUGAUAAUGUUCUCUGGGACACUGGCAGUAUUGCCCCCAGGAGGACUAGAUCACACAAAAAAAUGUAUGGAGUCAAUUGGCAAACUCGCUUAAUUUGUCUGAAUUCUGUCUAAAUGUUGAUGUAAAUUUCCAUCAUGUAUUGGGGACAUGCCUCAUGUCGUAAACCUAAGAAUGCUGUCAAAUUAUAUACACCCAGGGUAAUUAUGUCAAAUAAUACCCAAUGUGGUAUGUAUGAAAACUGUAUAACCAAAUGUCUGAGGAUAAAAUGGUCAGAAGGAAUGCUCUGCCAUAUAAAACAAAAAACAUGUGUAUAACAAUUGCCAUAUCUCCCUACCAAUAGGAUGGUUUUAUACCUGUGAAGAAAUAACUUUCAAUUAUAUCCCAGCCAAUUUAACCAAGACCCAUUCCUGCUUGAGUCAUCUAGCUGUGGUUCUACCAGAUAGAACUGAUUUGAUUAUGCCAAACAGAACUAAACAUUGGUCACCCUAUACUGCACCAGGAUGUGAUGAUGAUGUAGGUCUGUUGACAGAUGCUGAAGUAAUAACCAUGAUAGCAUCUUUUGUUGCCUUGCCUUCCAUAGGAGUCCAUACUGAAAAGGCAGUAAGGAAAUUAACAUGCAAGGUGGUCAAAAGGUUAAAUGCUACCUCAUCAGCCUUGGCAUUAAUUAACCAAGAGUUACAAGAACAGAGACAGGCAAUCUUAGACAAUAGGGCAGCGAUAGACUAUUUGUUGCUCUUCUACCACCAAGGUUGUGAGAAAAUAAGAAAUAUGUGUUGUUUCAAUCUUACUGACAAUAGUCCAAAAAUCAAAGAAAAGGUAAAACAAUUGGAAGACCUGGCUCAAAGGGUACAUAAUGAAGAUGGCUGGGACUUGUUCCAAUGGCUAACUAAAUGGUUGCCCAACCUA